AUUGAACGCUGGCGGCAUGCCUUACACAUGCAAGUCGAACGGUAACAGGUUAAGCUGACGAGUGGCGAACGGGUGAGUAAUGUAUCGGAACGUGCCCAGUCGUGGGGGAUAACUGCUCGAAAGAGCAGCUAAUACCGCAUACGACCUGAGGGUGAAAGCGGGGGAUCGCAAGACCUCGCGCGAUUGGAGCGGCCGAUAUCAGAUUAGGUAGUUGGUGAGGUAAAGGCUCACCAAGCCGACGAUCUGUAGCUGGUCUGAGAGGACGACCAGCCACACUGGGAGUGAGACACGGCCCAGACACAUAGGGGAGGCAGAAGUGGGGAAGUUGAGAAAAGGGGCGCAAGCCUGACCCAGCCAGGCCGGGUGGGGGAAGAAGGCCUGCGGGUUGUAAACCGCUUUUGGCAGGGAAAAAAAGGUUCUGGGUAAUACCUGGGACCCAGGACGGUACCUGAAGAAAAAACAACGGCUAAAUACGG
Molecule: ribosomal RNA, 476 nt
Filed under: uncultured bacterium
Lineage: Bacteria
Description: partial 16S ribosomal RNA
Rfam family: Bacterial small subunit ribosomal RNA
Source: RNAcentral